Salvelinus sp. IW2-2015 is the source of this 1602-nucleotide non-coding RNA. The record is from RefSeq and is a predicted model, not a curated record. Lineage: Eukaryota; Metazoa; Chordata; Actinopteri; Salmoniformes; Salmonidae.
ACUACCAACUGGACUGAAGUGUGGACCAUCUUUCAAUCACCCACGUGGGUGUAUGCUCCUAAAAACCAAUGAGGAGGUGGGACUUGCAGAGCGUCACGUGUCACAAACAGAACCAAAUUCUAUUUUAGUGCCUGGCUAUGUAGGCGCUCGUUGACGCACACGAGCAGUGUGGGUGCAACAAUUGAAUAACAGCGGCUGGUCAGCAUGUCACUGUCAUUUUCCCAAUUGUUAACAACGAUGUGUGGAGCGCUUUAUAUCCGUGGCAAAUAAUUAGAAAGAUCUCCUACUUACAGCAUUGUUGUAUUAGGUAUAAGUUACAUUUAUUUCUCUCCCUUUAUGAUGAUGAUCGGGGCCUGUUGGGUGUAGUUGUUAGGGGUAGUUUUGUGAUAACAAAAUCAGUGCAGUUUUCCGCUAUCGACUUUUUCUGAACGUUAACGAUCCCAAUGUAAUUUAAACAUUUAACAUUUCAUACCCCUACCUUAAAUUUGACGUUUGGAAUGUUUUUUAAACAUAGAUGAAUGUCUAAUUCAACAUGAGACGGAGCUUGUUGAUGCUACUAACGUGGCCGUGUAGCAAAUAGGCUCAACUGUGAUAAAUGGAUACUAGUGCAUAGGUCUACUCCUGACAUUUCCUAGGAUCCAUAAAGUAACUUUUCCUGACCUAUUUUUGCACCAGUUCUGUCACACAAAUUUUGGUGUAAAAAAAGUAGAGUCGUUACUAAUAGAUUUGACUUAUAUCACAUUCAUGUUUAUUUUUCUCUUCCUUGAUGGUCUCACUAGCUCUGGGAGCUGGAGAAGGUCCUCCUACUAACAGGACAAACCAAAGGAGACGCAGUAUCGUAUUGUAUCCCCCUGACAUGAGUUCGGAGCAGACUGAGAUCGGUCAGAGUGAUCAACCUGGGGGGCCCCUCGGCACCGUGAUGCACUGGAGGACGACGCUGACAACGUCGAUGAUUAUCAACUUUAAUGUGAUGUUCAACCAGGUUCUACAUUGGAUACACAAUGUAUUUAAGAAAAUGAGAGGGGAGAGAUGAGAAGCUGAGUUAGAGAAUGUAUUGAUUUGGAGCCAUGCUCCACUGUAGUGUGAUUCGCUAAGAUCAAAUAAUGAAAAAAACAUGCAAAUUUUAUUGCAAUGCACCGGCUGUCUGGAACCAACUGGACCCUGAUCAGCUUCUACCCCCAAACCAUAAGCUAAAUUGUUUACCCACACACACCACAUAUGCUACUAUUUAUAUAGCCACAUUGUUAUUCAUUGUGUUACAAUUGUUCUAUUAUAAUUUAUUCUUUACGCUGUUGGGAAGGGCCUGUAAGCCUUUCACUGUUUGUCUACACAUGUUGUUUAUGAAGUAUGCGACAAAUCAAAUUGGAUUUGAUGGAAGGAGAUGGAGAAGAUGAAGGUUCAGAACAGCUAGGCAGACUGAAACAAUGUGGGGGGGGAAACAACAGAAUAGGAAUGGUGAGGGAAAAGAGUGCGUGAUUGUGACAUCACAUGGGGAAACCAACAAUGUUGUAGUAGAUGUUAUAGUACUGUAUAUGUAAUAUAUAUCUACUACUUUGUAACUAUGUUUUCCGUUUGGUACCAAAUAAACAUGGUCCACCUAUA